GGUGAGUAACACGUGGGUGAUCUGCCCUGCACUUCGGGAUAAGCUUGGGAAACUGGGUCUAAUACCGGAUAGGAGCCAUCUUUAGUGUGGUGGUUGGAAAGUUUUUUCGGUGUAGGAUGAGCUCGCGGCCUAUCAGCUUGUUGGUGGGGUAAUGGCCUACCAAGGCGGCGACGGGUAGCCGGACUGAGAGGUUGUCGGCCACAUUGGGACUGAGAUACGGCCCAG
This 225-nucleotide ribosomal RNA is filed under the name uncultured Actinomycetales bacterium. RNAcentral's name for it is "partial 16S ribosomal RNA". It matches the Rfam family "Bacterial small subunit ribosomal RNA", at positions 105 to 334 of the family's 1533-position model. The record is from RNAcentral. Lineage: Bacteria; Bacillati; Actinomycetota; Actinomycetes; Actinomycetales.